AAGUAAGGAAAUCACUGAUGGUACCGUCAAGAGAGCUCGUUUAUUGACUGCUUGUGGGAAGAAGGCGUAUACAUUGUUUCGCAGCUUAGUAUCACCGGCUGCACUGCAUGAUAAAUCGUUUGAAGAGCUGUUAGAAGUGAUGAGAGCUCACAAAGACCCCAAGCCAUCGAAAAUAUUGAGCAGAUUUCGAUUUAGCCAGUGCCAUCGUGAUCCGUCUCAACCUGUUGCAGACUUUAUCGCCGAGCUCCGCAAGGCAGCAGAGCACUGCGAGUUUGGAGGCACACUGGAGGAUCGGCUGAUGGAGCAGCUGGUGUGCGGCAUCGCUGACGAGCGCAUCCAGAGGCACCUCUUGGCUGAGCCCCAGCUGGACUUCUCCAGAGCUCAGCAAGUCAGCCUGUCGCUCGAGAUGUCGAGUAAGGACGCUCAGGUCAUCGCAGGUCAGUCCGGGGGCACGGGCCACGCCACUGUCCAUGCUGCUGCAGCGCAGGCGAACACAGAGCCUUGCUGGCGUUGCAAUCGUGCGAAUCACAGUCCAGAUAUAUGCAGAUUCCGUAACUUCAAGUGCCGAAACUGUGGCCAGUUCGGCCACAUUCAGAGAGCGUGCAGGCGCCGCCCACGGAAGUCGGCCACUUCUGGGAGGCGCCGUCAGUCGGCCAACAAUGUCACCGGCUCCGGCGAUGAAGAGGACUGGGAGAGCUGGGUGGAAGCCGAAGAAGCAGUCGGCCAGAUCCGUCGAUCCACUGACACCGGCACUGCUGACGUCAGACAGGUGGGUGGCUCACUUCCGUUCACGUGUGAUGUUAAACUGCAACAGACUGAUGUGACAAUGGAGAUCGACACAGGCUCUAGGUACACUCUCAUUGGAGAGAAUACCUUCAGCAUGUUGAACUGCAAGCCUAGGCUGAAAGAGUGUAGGGUUCAGCUACGAGCAUAUACACAUCAGCCCAUUCCUGUGCUCGGGGAAUUUUGUACGUCUGUCGAGCACAAUGGUAUGACAUACCCUGGUAUGAAGGUGAUCGUGGUGAAAGGCAGCAGAUCCAGUCUCUUGGGCAGAGACUGGUUGGAGGCUAUCCGAAUCAACUGGUGCGAGGUCAAGGCGGUCUUCAACUCGGCCAUCGAUCAGCUGAAGGGAAAGUACCGUCAAGUGUUCGAGCCGGGUCUCUGGGAGUUAAAAGGGGUCGAGGUGAAGCUAGAGGUGGACCGUUCUGUGCCCCCCAGAUUUUUCAGACCCAGAUCCCUGCCGUACGUCUACAGGGAAAAGGUGGAAGAGCAGAUCGACAAGGACGUCAAGGCGGGCAUCCUGGUGCCGGUGCAGCACAGCCAGUGGGCUGCACCACUGGUUCCAGUGCUGAAAAAGUCUGGUGAGAUCAGGGUAUGUGCCAACUUCAAACUCACUGCCAACCGUGCCGUCAAACUGGAUCAGUAUCCCUUGCCGCUCGUUGAGGAUCUUUUUGCUCAGUUAGCGGGAGGAGUGAUUUUCUCGAAGAUUGAUCUGGCACAAGCUUACAACCAGAUUCCCAUUCAUAAAGAUUCGAUGGAUGUUUUGACGAUAAGUACGGCUAAAGGGCCCAUGUCCUACACUCGCUUACCAUUUGGAAUAUCAGCUGGGCCAGGGAUAUUCCAACGAGAGAUUGAAAAGGUGUUGAGCGGCAUGCCAUCUGUUGCCGUGUACCUCGAUGACAUUUUGGUGAGCAGUAGGUCCACUGAAGAGCACCUGAAGACGCUGGACGAGGUCCUCCGCCGCUUGCAAGAAGCUGGACUGAAGGUACGUGCAUCCAAGUGUCAGUUCAUGAUGCAAAACGUGGAGUAUUUGGGGCAUCUGAUCGACAGGAAUGGCAUCAGACCGACGCCAGCCAAAGUGAGAGCUAUCAGGGAUGCUCCAGUUCCUAAAAGUGUCAAGGAGCUGCUAAGUUUUCUCGGAAUGGUGACCUACUACGCAAAGUAUCUGCCCUCCCGUGCUGACAAGUUGGCCCCGUUGUACGAGCUCCUCCGGAAAGAUUCCAGAUGGCGCUGGGGUACCGAGCAGGAGAAGAGCUUCCAGUGGGCGCGGAACGCCCUGACGUCGGACUCAUUUCUGGCGCACUACAGGAGUGGCCAGCAGCUCGUCUUGGUCUGUGACGCCUCUCCCGUCGGCAUCGGCGCGGUGCUGGCGCAUCGAGAGGCUGACGGAUCAGAGAGGCCUUUGGGGUAUGUAUCGCGUACUCUGACAGAGUCUGAGCGCAGAUAUGCACAGAUUGACAGAGAAGCUCUAGCCAUUGUGUUCGGCGUGUGCAAAUUUCACAACUAUCUGCUCGGGAACCGUUUUAAGCUGGUAACAGAUCACAAGCCGCUGUUACGACUGUUCGGAGAACAUCAGGACUUACCGACCAUGACCUCUGCUAGGAUCAGACGGUGGGCGCUGAAGCUGUCGACAUACAGUUACAGCGUUGAGCACAGACCGACUGAUCGCAUGGGAAAUGCCGACGCUCUGUCCCGUCUUCCGUUACCUUUAGGCAAAUCAGGUGAACCGGAAGAGCUGGUCUUGAUGGUGGACAGUCGCGUAAUCGACGCAAAAAAGAUAGCCCGACUCACAGCUACGGAUCGGACGUUGAGCAGAGUGCUGCAGAGUGUGCAGUAUGGUGAUUGGUGUGAAGGUGACGAUGUGCCAAAAUCAUUUACCGACAGGAAACUGGAGCUGUCAGUCACCGCAGGCGUCCUCAUGUGGGGACACCGUGUCAUCAUUCCAGAGAGGGCACAAGGCGAGGUACUGGCCGAGCUACAUGCUGCCCACCCCGGGAUGAGGCGCAUGAAGGCGCUGGCACGAGGCUACGUCUGGUGGCCGGGCAUCGAUGCCGCCAUCGAGGAAGUCGUGCGGAGCUGCCAGCCAUGCCAGGAGAGCCGCCCAGCACCGGACCGCGCACCGCUGAGUAUGUGGCCCUGGCCGGACCGCCCGUGGUCCAGGAUUCACAUUGAUUACGCUGAGCCGAGCUGAUGCUUGGCAGGAGGCUGCGGAGUAAGCUGGACCUUCUACGGCCGAGCAUCCGGGCGACGGUGGUCAAAGGUCAAGUGAGCCAAAAACAAAACCAUGACGGAUAUCGUCAGCUACCUGACCUGAGCCGGAGCGGAGAGGUGACAUCUGGCGGCGGCGCUGAGGGAGCUCACUCUGGCUGGCUACCGGCUGCCGCCGACGCUGUUCAACGGCCGCCCGCCGCGGCGCUCGUUCGGCCGCCGGCACCUGGUGCUGCCGUUGGGUCGUCUGCCGAGCCGCCUGCUGGGUCGUUUGGCGAGCUGGCUGGUGUUGCUGCUGGGUCGUCUGCUGAGCCGACUCAGCGCGAGGUCUCGGGCGCUGCCGUUCCGUCAUCGCCGCUAUCUGGCCGAGUGCCGCUGUCGCAAUCUCAGCGGACGGCGCCGGCGCCAUUGUCGCGGCCCGAUGACGCGUCUGUUUCUACGGGCAACCGCAGUGAGCUCGCGCGUCGCUAUCCGGUUCGUGUGCGGAACAAACCAAACUUUUACGUGGGAAAGUAAUGUACGGUAAUUGGGCGUGGUCCAUGCGACGACUGCGCGUGCGCGGGGCCGCGCGGCGGCUGCGCGUGCGCAGGGCGCGGUGUGCGUGCGCCUGUCUGUUAGACUGUACCGCUGUGUCAUCGUCUGCGCGGGUCAGCCGGCCCGCGCGGCAUUCUGAAAUAGAGUGGCAAACUGAACAGCUGUGUU
This 3690-nucleotide unclassified non-coding RNA is filed under the name Amphibalanus amphitrite. RNAcentral describes it as "uncharacterized protein K02A2.6-like, transcript variant X2". Lineage: Eukaryota; Metazoa; Arthropoda; Thecostraca; Balanomorpha; Balanidae. The record is from RNAcentral.